Molecule: ribosomal RNA, 433 nt
Filed under: uncultured bacterium
Lineage: Bacteria
Description: partial 16S ribosomal RNA
Rfam family: Bacterial small subunit ribosomal RNA
Source: RNAcentral
AACGAACGCUGGCGGCAUGCCUAACACAUGCAAGUCGAACGAGACCUUCGGGUCUAGUGGCGCACGGGUGCGUAACGCGUGGGAACCUGCCCUUAGGUUCGGAAUAACUCCCCGAAAGGGGUGCUAAUACCGGAUAAUGUCUUCGGACCAAAGAUUUAUCGCCUUUGGAUGGGCCCGCGUUGGAUUAGCUAGUUGGUAGGGUAAAAGCCUACCAAGGCGACGAUCCAUAGCUGGUCUGAGAGGAUGAUCAGCCACACUGGGACUGAGACACGGCCCAGACCCCUCGGGGAGGCAGAGGGGGGGAAUAUGGGAAAAGGGGGGAAAGCCUGACCAACCAAGGCCGGGUGAGUGAGAAAGGCCUUGGGGUUGAAAAGCUUUUUUACCCGGGAUGAAAAGGACAGUCCGGGAAAAAAAAGCCCCGGCUACCCCCGUG